Molecule: long non-coding RNA, 4933 nt
Filed under: Setaria italica (foxtail millet)
Lineage: Eukaryota; Viridiplantae; Streptophyta; Magnoliopsida; Poales; Poaceae
Description: long non-coding RNA (SITA_LNC004167)
Source: RNAcentral
AGGAGAACACCGACGCCCUAUCUGGGUCGUGCGAUGAUUACGUGUUGAUUAGAUGCAGAAUAGCCCCGCAUGUAGCAGUUACAUAUAGGCGUUACAACUUGAGGGCUAAGCCAAGAGAUCUUUUCUAAAUAUAAACCUUCUAUACGUAGAUGAUCUAUUCCUGUACAUAGACAAUCUAUAUCUCUUGGCUUUAGCACAAUAUGGUAAGGUAAAUACGCAUGCAUCUAACCUUUCUAUCUAACAGCCUCCCUCAAUCUUAACCGCUCUAGGUUCAGAUUGACUUUGAAAUUUUCUAACAGCCGAACAGACAAGGCCUUUGUAAAGCCAUCUGCAAUUUGAUCUCCUGAUGAAACAAAUUCAAUCUCUAGUAAUUUUCGAGCAACUCUUUCUCUGACAAAAUGAUAGUCAACUUCAAUAUGUUUUGUUCUGGCAUGGAAAACAGGAUUAGCAGACAAGUACUUUGCACCAAUAUUAUCACACCAAAGUCUUGCUGCCUUUGGACUAGGAAUACCCAAUUCACGCAGUAAAGUUUGUAUCCACAUAACUUCUGCAGUAGCAUUAGCAAUUGCUUUAUAUUCUGAUUCUGUACUAGAUCUUGAAACAGUAGCCUGUUUUCUUGCACUCCAUGAUACAAGAUUAGAACCCAAGAACACAGCAAACCCUCCUGUAGACCUUCUGUCAUCAACACUGCCAGCCCAGUCUGCAUCUGAAAAUGCACUCACCAAAGUCGAAGGAGACUUCUGUAUUUUCAAGCCCAAUUCUGUACAUUGCUUCAAGUACCGUAAUAUUCUUUUAACUGCUGCCCAAUGUACUGUGGUAGGUGCAUGAAGAAAUUGACAGACUUUAUUAACAGAAAAGGCUAUAUCAGGUCUAGUGAGGGUUAGAUAUUGAAGAGCACCAACAAUGCUUCUAUACCGUGAUGUAUCAUCCGGUCCCAACAAUGAUCCUUCAUGUAAUGAUAAUUUUUCACUAGUGGAUAAUGGAGUAUUAACAGGCUUGCAAUCUGACAUACCAACUCUUUUUAGAAGAUCAGAAGCAUAUUUUCUUUGAGUGAGAACAAUGCCAUCUCGCACCUUGGCAACUUCUAUACCGAGAAAAUAAUGCAGAUCUCCCAGAUCCGUUAGAGCAAAUUCCCCCUGCAAAUCUUGAAGUAACACUGUGGUAGCAUGUGGUGUAGAGCUGGCUAUAAUAAUAUCAUCAACAUAAACAAGGAGAUACAUGCUAACAUCAUUCUUGCGAUAAAAGAACAAAGAGGUAUCAGCCUUUGAAGAUUGAAAACCGAGUGAUAUCAAUUUAGCACUUAGUCUAGAGUACCAUGCUCUGGGCGCCUGUUUCAGACCAUAUAAGGCUUUAUCUAGGCGACAAACAAAGUUUGGUCUUGAAGGAUCUUCAAAACCAGGUGGCUGUUGCAUAUAUACCUCUUCUUCAAGAUUGCCAUGGAGAAAAGCAUUUUGUACGUCAAGUUGUCUGAGAGUCCAUCCUCGAGAAACAGCAAGAGAUAGAAUAAUACGAAUAGUAGCAGCUUUAACAACAGGACUGAAAGUUUCCUCAUAAUCUAUUCCAUAUCUCUGCUUAAAACCCUUUGCUACCAAUCGAGCUUUAUAUCUAUCCAAGCUACCAUCAGAUUUUCUCUUUAUUCUGUAUACCCAUUUGCAACCAAUAAUAUUUCUACCCUUUUGAGGUGGAACAAGGUGCCAAGUUUUAUUCUUCAUUAAGGCAUUGUACUCAAGAUCCAUUGCAUUUUUCCAAUUACUAUCAGCUAGAGCCUCGUCAGUACUACUAGGUUCCCCUGUAGUUGUCAAAAAUCCAUACCUGACAGUACCAUCUGUGUAUAUUUUCUCCUUGCGUAUGCCACUUUGAAGUCUGGUUACAGGUCGGGUUGCAGCUGGAGGUGCCUCUGUUGCCGCAGCAGCAGUCUGGCCUGCCUGGCCCGGCGAAUCUCCCGCGCGCGGGGAAGAAGACGUGGCCGCGCCUGGCUGGUGCGGCGCGGUGUCCGAAGACGUGGCCGCGCCUGGCUGGUGCGGCGCGGUGUCUGGAUCAGGCGCCGUCGCGAGAGGAGAAACCGGAGAUAGCGUGGCGUCCGGCGGUUGGCCAAUGGACGCACCCGAACCAGACUCCGAUCCCGAGCCCGCAUGCGAAUUGCCUCCGGAGUUUGCAUCACCGGUUCCUUCCGAAUUGUCACCAGCGUCUCCCUGAUUCUCAUCAUGCAACUCAGAGGAAACAUUAGAAGAAUUAGAUGAACCAUUAGCACACUGAUCUACUGCAUGUUCGCCCCCUACAUACGGAUAAACAAGAUCAGAAGGAAGACAUAAGAUCUCGGAGCGAAGACGGGCACCGGCAUUGGGAUGCAGCUCAGUGAAGGGAAAAAUAUUUUCAUCAAAUAUCACAUCCCUGGAGAUGUAAACACGGCCAGUGGAGACAUCAAGGCACUUGUAGCCUUUGUGCAAGGUGCUAUAACCAAGAAAGACACAUCUUUUGGAUCGAAAUUCUAGUUUGUGCUUAUUAUAGGGAUGAAGAUGAGGCCAACAAGCACAUCCAAAAACUCUCAUCGAGGAGUAAUCUGGUUUUUGAUUAAAGAGACGCUCUAGAGGCGUAGCAUGACCAAUCGUUUUGCUGGGUACACGAUUGAUGAGAUAAACUGCUGUUUGGAAGGCUUCAUCCCAAAAUUUUAGGGGCAUAGCCGCAUGAGAUAAAAGAGAGAGACCGACUUCAACUAUGUGACGGUGUUUUCUCUCAGCUGACCCAUUUUGCUGAUGAGUGUGUGGGCAUGAAACAAGAUGAACGAUGCCAGCUUUAUUAAAAAAGGAAUUAAGUGUCUGAUAUUCGCCUCCCCAGUCAGUUUGCAUGGCAAGAAUCUUACGAUCAAACAAGCGUUCAACAAGAGUUUGAAACUCUUGAAAUUUUUGAAAUACUUCAGACUUGUGCUUAAGAAAGUAAAUCCAGGUGAACUUGCUAAAAUCAUCAAUGAAACUAACAUAAUAUCGUUUUCGACCAACUGAUUCUGGUGCAUGACCCCAGACAUCAGAGAACACAAGUUCUAAAGGAGACUUGGAAAUACUAGAAGACUUGGGAUAGGGCAACUGAUGGCUCUUCCCUUGCUGACAAGCAUCACAAACUGACUGACUCAACGACUCAUCGAUAUAUGGGAGACUAUUAUUACUGACAACUUGCUUAACAAUUAACGAAGAUGGAUGACCCAGCCUACUGUGCCAUCGAGACAGGGGCAAUCUGUUGGAGUUGUAGGCUUGCUUUAUUGUUGGUGCAGGUAAAGGAUAGAGACCCCUGUGACACCUUCCUCUAAGGAGUAUAUUCUUCGUUUCCUGAUCCUUAAUCAGAAAGAAAUCAGGGUGAAAUUCUAUAAAGAUAGAGUUGUCAGCGGUAAGACGAUGAACUGAAACAAGAUUUUUCUUGGCUUGUGGAACAUAAAGAACAUCAUUUAAUUGUAUGUUACGAGUGGGGGUACGAACUGUAGUACGACCAAUGUGACUAAUGUUCAUACCUGUUCCACUAGCUGUGUGGAUCUGAUCACCACCAUGAUACUUUUUCUUGAGAGACAGCUGCUCGAGAUUGCUUGUCAUAUGAUCCGUAGCACCGGUAUCAGUGUACCAGUUGGUGUCCACGCCAUACGAGUUUGUAGCUGCUGCAACAAGACGCUGAUCUGGCACAAAGUUCUCAUCGAACCUGUGCCAGCAUUCAGCGGCUGAGUGAUUCAUCUUGAAGCACACCUGGCACCUGUUGUCAUCUGAAUCAGGCGCACCACCAGAUGUCCCGCGACUAUUGUUGUUGUAGAAGCCGCGGGAGUUGUUGUUGUUGUGGGAGCCACGACCUCCUGCAGGAGGCUCGCGACUGGACCUGCCGCGGCUAGACUGCGCGCCCCCACGCGAGGGGCCUCUCCCACGCGCGUGAUUCUUCCCGCGCCACGAGCCACGACCACGAGAUGCCGAGUUUGCCGAUCCAGACCCAGGGCUGCCUCCAUAGAUCAAGUCCAUUCUAGUUUCAAAAUUGAGAAGUUGUGAAUAAAGCUCACCAACGGAGAUGGGUUCCACUCUAGCGCAUAGAGCAGAGACGAUGGGCGAGAAAUCUUCGCCCAAGCCGGUGAUGAUGUACUCCACCAGUUCUUCAUCUUCUAGGGGCCGUCCUGCAGCCGCCAUGUCGUCGCCAAGAGCCUUCAUCUUGGCAAAGUACUCGGCAACGGACGAAUUUUCCUUCUUGGUCGUUGCCAGAGCAAUCCGCAUGUUAACGGAUCGCGCUCGCGUCUGUGACGCGAACAUGUCUUCAAUGAUCUUCCAGGCGUCCGCCGCGGUGGCGCUGGUGGCCACUUGUGUGAGGACAUCCUUGGUGACCGAUGCGAGGAGGUAGCUAAGGACCUGUUGAUCCGUGGCCUCCCAGUCUUCGCGCGCUGGAUUGGGAACCCUCACUUCCUUCCCAUCAGCGCCCUUCUGCACAAGCUCCGCCGCAGGUAUAGGGGUGGCACCCGUGAGGUACCCCUGAAGACGAGCACCACGGAUCGCAGCACGCACCUGUGCCUUCCACAGGGCGUGAUUGUUCUUGCUAAGCUUUUCCGUGACAGGCUGGGCGAGGAGAGGAUUGGAGGAAGCAGAUGAUGACGCCAUUGUAGUUGCGAAGAGGAGAUGCAAUCUACUCAAAAGCAAUGGCUCUGAUUACCAUGUGAAAGUUCAGAGGAGCGGAGGAGAACACCGACGCCCUAUCUGGGUCGUGCGAUGAUUACGUGUUGAUUAGAUGCAGAAUAGCCCCGCAUGUAGCAGUUACAUAUAGGCGUUACAACUUGAGGGCUAAGCCAAGAGAUCUUUUCUAAAUAUAAACCUUCUAUACGUAGAUGAUCUAUUCCUGUACAUAGACAAUCUAUAUCUCUUGGCUUUAGCACAAUAUGGUAAGGUAAAUACGCAUGCAUCUAACCUUUCUAUCUAACAGA